Molecule: ribosomal RNA, 305 nt
Filed under: uncultured bacterium
Lineage: Bacteria
Description: bacterial SSU rRNA
Rfam family: Bacterial small subunit ribosomal RNA
Source: RNAcentral
GCUAGCCUACGGGGCGCAGCAGUGGGGGAUAUUGCACAAUGGGGGAAACCCUGAUGCAGCGACGCCGCGUGGGUGACGAAGUAUUUCGGUAUGUAAAGCUCUAUCAGCAGGGAAGAAAAUGACGGUACCUGACUAAGAAGCCCCGGCUAACUACGUGCCAGCAGCCGCGGUAAUACGUAGGGGGCAAGCGUUAUCCGGAUUUACUGGGUGUAAAGGGAGCGUAGACGGAGGAGCAAGUCUGAUGUGAAAAUCCGGGGCCCAACCCCGGAACUGCAUUGGAAACUGUUUAUCUAGAGUGUCGGAGG